UGGGGAAUAUUGGACAAUGGGCGAAAGCCUGAUCCAGCAAUGCCGCGUGAGUGAUGAGGGCCUUAGGGUUGUAAAGCUCUUUUACCAGGGAUGAUAAUGACAGUACCUGGAGAAUAAGCUCCGGCUAACUCCGUGCCAGCAGCCGCGGUAAUACGGAGGGAGCUAGCGUUGUUCGGAAUUACUGGGCGUAAAGCGCGCGUAGGCGGUUAUCCAAGUCAGGGGUGAAAUCCCGGAGCUCAACUCCGGAACUGCCCUUGAAACUAGGUGACUAGAAUAUUGGAGAGGUAAGUGGAAUUCCGAGUGUAGAGGUGAAAUUCGUAGAUAUUCGGAAGAACACCAGUGGCGAAGGCGACUCACUGGACUGGUAUUGACGCUGAGGUGCGAAAGCGUGGGGAGCAAACAGGAUUAGAUACCCCCGUAGUCC
RNAcentral lists this ribosomal RNA (424 nucleotides) under uncultured prokaryote. Its description in RNAcentral is "bacterial SSU rRNA". It matches the Rfam family "Bacterial small subunit ribosomal RNA", at positions 355 to 796 of the family's 1533-position model. The record is from RNAcentral.